This 406-nucleotide ribosomal RNA is filed under the name uncultured bacterium. RNAcentral describes it as "partial 16S ribosomal RNA". It matches the Rfam family "Bacterial small subunit ribosomal RNA", at positions 28 to 526 of the family's 1533-position model. The record is from RNAcentral.
GACGAACGCUGGCGGCGUGCCUAACACAUGCAAGUCGAACGAGUGGCGGCCGGGUGAGUAAUGUCUGGGAAACUGCCUGAUGGCGGGGGAUAACUACUGGAAACGGUAGCUAAUACCGCAUACCAUAGGAUGUGCCCAGAUGGGAUUAGCUAGUUGGUGGGGUAACGGCUCACCAAGGCGACGAUCCCUAGCUGGUCUGAGAGGAUGACCAGCCACACUGGGACUGAGACACGGACCUGACUCCUACGGGAGGCAGCAGUAGGGAAUCUUCGGCAAUGGGCGAAAGUCUGACCCAGCAAGCCCGCGUGUGUGAAGAAGGCUUUCGGUUCGUAAAACACGGUUGUUAGAGAAGCGGUACCUGCCCAGGAAGCCCCGGCUAACUACGUGCCAGCCGCCGCGGUAAUAC